Molecule: long non-coding RNA, 359 nt
Organism: Podarcis muralis (Common wall lizard)
Lineage: Eukaryota; Metazoa; Chordata; Lepidosauria; Squamata; Lacertidae
Source: RefSeq, a predicted model, not a curated record
AGAGAGGGUGGGGAGGGGGAGGGGAGGGAGGCGAUCGAGGCGUCCUGCAAGUUUGUCACCGCCAGGCAGAGACGGGAAGGACUGAUCGAGUGACAGAUGCCUCGGAUGGCUCCCUCUUCCUCCUCCUCCGCCCCCGAGGUUGCCCUUCGCUCUUGGGAGGAAUAUUGGAUGACACUGCAUUGAAGCAAGUGUUAUCACACACUUCCAGCACAUUUCUCCAUAAUUUUUUCUUAUCACAAAAUGUCUGAUCAUUUGGGGAAGUGGGUUUGAUACACAAGACCUCCUAAUCAAUUAUAAAUGUGAAACCUGAACUCACAGGCCAGAACAGAACUGAUCUGAUGGGUUCAGCCAACCUGCUU